RNAcentral lists this long non-coding RNA (699 nucleotides) under Lactuca sativa (garden lettuce). RNAcentral describes it as "long non-coding RNA (LSAT_LNC002694)". The record is from RNAcentral. Lineage: Eukaryota; Viridiplantae; Streptophyta; Magnoliopsida; Asterales; Asteraceae.
GGCCAUGACAUUUAAGGCAUGCUCCGAUACAGUGGAUCACAAUUUUGUUAACGUAUUCAUGUAUAUGUACUUAUGUAAGCAUAAUCAUGUAAAAGUAUAUGAACGUAUGCCUUUGCUACCCAAAGGCACUGAACUGACUGAAAGGAACUAUUAUGUCCAUAUAUGUAUACAUGAUAUAUAACUAAUAUUUAAACGACCUUCGGACGGUACCCGAUAUCCCACCAGACCACAUCUCAAGCGCGAAAAGGAAAUAGGGUGGAUAGCCUUCCUAAGUCUUUUAAACAUUACUUAUAUAACUAUACAAAUAUAGGCAUGCUUAUAACAAAAUCUCUAUGUAAACGUAAUUAUGUAAUUGUAUAGUAAUGUACUAUGUGUACUAGUUGUAAUGUAAGUUCUCUCUAUCUAGCAAGUAUGGACUCAUGAAUGAACUGACCCCUUGUAUGAUAUCGUGUUCUAGUAAUAGUUCUAGUAUCUUCCUAAACUACCCAUAUGGUAGCUUACUAGUAAUAUAACUGGUACGUAUGAACAUGGAUGUAUACCCUUGCUAUCCAAGGGCAUUGGAUGAACUGGAAACACCUUUUAUGACUAUAUAUGUACACAUAAUAUAUAACUAAUAUUUAAACGACCUUCGGACGGUACCCGAUAUCCCACCAAACCACAUCUCAAGCGCGAAAAUGAAAUAGGGUGGAUAGCCUUCCU